GGAGGCUAUACAUGCAAGUCGAGCGAACUGAUUAGAAGCUUGCUUCUAUGACGUUAGCGGCGGACGGGUGAGUAACACGUGGGCAACCUGCCUGUAAGACUGGGAUAACUUCGGGAAACCGAAGCUAAUACCGGAUAGGAUCUUCUCCUUCAUGGGAGAUGAUUGAAAGAUGGUUUCGGCUAUCACUUACAGAUGGGCCCGCGGUGCAUUAGCUAGUUGGUGAGGUAACGGCUCACCAAGGCAACGAUGCAUAGCCGACCUGAGAGGGUGAUCGGCCACACUGGGACUGAGACACGGCCCAGACUCCUACGGGAGGCAGCAGUAGGGAAUCUUCCGCAAUGGACGAAAGUCUGACGGAGCAACGCCGCGUGAGUGAUGAAGGCUUUCGGGUCGUAAAACUCUGUUGUUAGGGAAGAACAAGUACGAGAGUAACUGCUCGUACCUUGACGGUACCUAACCAGAAAGCCACGGCUAACUACGUGCCAGCAGCCGCGGUAAUACGUAGGUGGCAAGCGUUAUCCGGAAUUAUUGGGCGUAAAGCGCGCGCAGGCGGUUUCUUAAGUCUGAUGUGAAAGCCCACGGCUCAACCGUGGAGGGUCAUUGGAAACUGGGGAACUUGAGUGCAGAAGAGAAAAGCGGAAUUCCACGUGUAGCGGUGAAAUGCGUAGAGAUGUGGAGGAACACCAGUGGCGAAGGCGGCUUUUUGGUCUGUAACUGACGCUGAGGCGCGAAAGCGUGGGGAGCAAACAGGAUUAGAUACCCUGAUAGUCCACGCCGUAAACGAUGAGUGCUAAGUGUUAGAGGGUUUCCGCCCUUUAGUGCUGCAGCUAACGCAUUAAGCACUCCGCCUGGGGAGUACGGUCGCAAGACUGAAACUCAAAGGAAUUUGACGGGGGCCCGCACAAGCGGUGGAGCAUGUGAUUAAUUCGAAGCAACGCGGAAGAACCCUUACCAGGU
Molecule: ribosomal RNA, 957 nt
Filed under: uncultured prokaryote
Description: bacterial SSU rRNA
Rfam family: Bacterial small subunit ribosomal RNA
Source: RNAcentral